Molecule: non-coding RNA, 2813 nt
Organism: Maylandia zebra (zebra mbuna)
Lineage: Eukaryota; Metazoa; Chordata; Actinopteri; Cichliformes; Cichlidae
Source: RefSeq, a predicted model, not a curated record
AUGUUUGUUAAUUCCUAGAGGUGUCCAGUAAAAUACAUCUACACCCUCAUUUCCAACCAGACGAGGAGGCUGAAGUCCUUUGAACACCCACAGUUUCGUUUGGUAGACCUUUGUAGAUUUCUUUAUGUUUGUCAAAAUCUGAUCUGGACUUUCUCAACUACAUCCCGGUCAACUUAGCUGUGGAUGGAGUGGAGAUGAUGGUUUCCAGGAUUUCAUGGCCACACACUAAGAGUUUUAACAAGAGCGUCAAGGAGCUACUUCAAUGCUGGAAACACCCUACACUCCAAAACAACAUUUUCUUGAUUAAGACACUGCUCUAUUCCAACCAGAAACUAAAGACCCCUCUGCAAGCUGAAGCUUAACCCUUCAUGAUGUGAACAGGACCUCUUCAUCUUCAAAAAGCAAAGAUGCACCCACUAAACCUAGAUAUGAACAGAACUGGUGAGGGCUAAAGGCAAAAUGUAAAUUGAGCUCCAAGAUAUAACAAUCUAAUAUUUUUCACCUUGCAGUGGUAAAAAGCUGGUCUUCAUUUAGGCGUUGGGUUAAUUAGAAUCACCAAUUAACCCCUAAAAAUUUAAUGUCUUUGUACUGUGGCUGCAAAAAGGUCUCCAUUUUGGAGACAACACAUAAGGAUUUGAAGAAUGUGAAGACUCAAAAAGCAAACCACAACAAUCAGAUGCUGUUCCCUCAACCCAAAGACACAGGUAAAAGAAAUCCUCUUAUCCAAAAUCUCCGUACAGUAUAUAAUCCACCUCCUCUGCAGGAGAUUGUGUUGCAUUCUAAGGUGAGUCUGGCUGAAGCCAAAGACCAGGCUCCCCUCUCUCCGGAUUAUUCCACCUAUUGGAAAUCAGGAACCAAAUUGCCUUUGGAUGUUUCCCAGUCCACUAAGGCACAGACCCCUAAUACAUGAGGCAGGCCCAGAGAGGGUCUACUUGGCAGGCAAGAAUGGCCCUGAUAACUUUUUUCUUAACAAUAUAUUUUAGUGUCUCAGUUUUCAUUACAUGGAAUUUUUAGAAUCGAUUUUAAGAUGUCCUUUCAUCCUGGACCAAUUUGCCUUUGGGAAAUGCAAAAAGUGGCAAAGUGUCUCUGACAAUAUUUAAAGUCCUCCACUAGUGGAGGAAUUUGUUCGGUUACUUUUAAUAAUUGGAUGAAAAUCCUUCAACAUCACUAUGUGCUGCGUUUGUUUUCUUGACUUUCUCUUCCAGGUGUUUGUUUUUGCCAAGUUCCUUCAGAUGUUUUCUAGAUGUUUUUCUAACAAAGUCUCGUCUGGCCUUCUUGUUCUUGAGUGUACCAGAGGUUUGCAUCAUGAUACAAAACCCUCUGGAUUUCAAUGAAGGCAUCUCCUGUUUGUAAACGUUGAUGAGAUGCCUUCCUCUUCCAGAGUAUUCCAGACUUGGCUGAUGUUGUUUUUCGUUUUUUAAACAUAAAAAUAAUUCUGCCACUGCAUGUAGCUAGCUUAUUCUAAAGUUUUGUUUACCCAUGUGACAGAUUUAUUUUUUAAGCCUAAUGAUUGAUUUGUGAUAAAGCAAAUAUGUCAUGUCAAGGGAACAGGAGUCACAUGGCCUUGAAAAGUCUUGUCGGUCAAUUUUCUAAAUGACUUUUGAGCCUCUAGAAAUGGCUGUGUAAAAAGAACAAGGUGAAAGUAUGUAAUUCAAUCACAUAUUGAUUCUGUUAUUAAAAAUGUACUGUGGUGGUUUAAGCAUAACUAUGGAAAUUAUGUCUCUGUCAUGCGUCACCUAUGUGUGACCAGUAGAUGUAAAGCAUGUGAGCUAAUUCAGCCUUUAGCUGCUUAAAUUCACCAAGAAAGACAACGCCUUUCCAACUGUACUGACCCUGUAGUCAAAGGUCUACAUGAUAAAAUACGUUAAAGCAUAUGUGACACAACGGCAUAGACUGACUUGUGUUCUGGUCUAUAAUUAUUAACCCUUUUUCAAAAACAACAACCAAUGAUUAUUUAAUUGACAACAGGGAAUUUGAUUCAAUGUAAACACAUUUUGGCCAAAAAGAUGUGAGCUGAAGCUUUAGCUUCAGCCUAUGUUUUAUACAGAACACAUUCUAAAUGAAAUCCCUUUAUUGACUAGAUUUUAUCAAAGCAAACACCAAGAAAAAUGAUAAAUGAAUAAAUGAAUAGGUAGUAAAAAGAGAUAUAGAAGAGAUAGCUUAGUAGGUAGCUCCAUGAUUGGAAGGUCGGGGGUCCACCAAACAGCUACCCUGAGCAAGGUACCAUCCCUACACACUACUCCCUGGGUGCUGGAUUGGUGGCUGCCCACUACUUCACUGAGUGAAUGGGUUAAAUAAAGAGAGUACUUUCCCUACAGGGAAUUAAUAAUGAUGUAUAAUGAUGUAUAAUGAUCUUCACAUUAAAAGAAAAUCCAUACACACUCUAUUUCAAUAUCAUUUAGUUUUUUAAAGAAAAAAGAAAAAAUUAUUUUGCCACAUUAUAAAGGUUGUUUUGCUUUAGUGAUAAUUUAUUAAUUUCAACUGUUUCUUUCAAAAAUAUUAGCUCCCUUUCCACUUUAUUUUGAAGCUGUUCCAAACUUUACCCAUAUUUAGUGUAACUGACAAACAACAAUUUAGACACAUUACAUGUGUCAUUUAUUUAUAAAAUUUCCAGUUUAGAGCCCAGCACUGAAGGUUGUGGAACCUGACAAGUAACCUUAAACCAGAGUCAACAUUUCUUAUCUGUACAUGACGAGUUUUAUACAGAUGUGCUCAGUCAUGAGUGAGCUAGCAUCAGUCUAUCUUUUCAUUAGUAAUCUGUGAUCUGCCAUUUCACAUGCAUUUUUAAGAUCAAUAAACACCCCCAAAAUGUA